RNAcentral lists this ribosomal RNA (401 nucleotides) under Enterobacter sp. OOS95. RNAcentral's name for it is "bacterial SSU rRNA". It matches the Rfam family "Bacterial small subunit ribosomal RNA", at positions 994 to 1387 of the family's 1533-position model. Lineage: Bacteria; Pseudomonadati; Pseudomonadota; Gammaproteobacteria; Enterobacterales; Enterobacteriaceae. The record is from RNAcentral.
UUACUUUCAGAGAUGCUUUGGUGCCUUCGGGAACUCUGAGACAGGUGCUGCAUGGCUGUCGUCAGCUCGUGUUGUGAAAUGUUGGGUUAAGUCCCGCAACGAGCGCAACCCUUAUCCUUUGUUGCCAGCGGUCCGGCCGGGAACUCAAAGGAGACUGCCAGUGAUAAACUGGAGGAAGGUGGGGAUGACGUCAAGUCAUCAUGGCCCUUACGAGUAGGGCUACACACGUGCUACAAUGGCGCAUACAAAGAGAAGCGACCUCGCGAGAGCAAGCGGACCUCAUAAAGUGCGUCGUAGUCCGGAUUGGAGUCUGCAACUCGACUCCAUGAAGUCGGAAUCGCUAGUAAUCGUAGAUCAGAAUGCUACGGUGAAUACGUUCCCGGGUCUUGUACACCCCCGAA